UGCCCCAGUAACGGCGAGUGAAGCGGCAACAGCUCAAAUUUGAAAUCUGGGGCCUUUGGCCUCCGAGUUGUAAUUUGCAGAGGGUGCCUCGGAGUGCGGACCGGCCCAAGUGCCUUGGAACAGGAUACCAUAGAGGGUGAGAGUCCCGUAUCCGGCCGACACCGUGCUCCGUGUGAGGCCCCUUCGACGAGUCGAGUUGUUUGGGAAUGCAGCUCUAAGCGGGUGGUAAAUUCCAUCUAAAGCUAAAUACCUGCCAGAGACCGAUAGCGAACAAGUAGAGUGAUCGAAAGAUGAAAAGCACUUUGAAAAGAGAGUGAAACAGUACGUGAAAUUGUUGAAAGGGAAGCGUAUGGGGCCAGACAUGGCCGCGUGGUUCCGGGUGCCUUCUGGCGCCUGUACUCCACUGCGGUCAGGCCAGCAUCGGUUCUGGGGGUCGGAGAAAGGCGUCGGGAAUGUAGCUCCCCUCGGGGAGUGUUAUAGCCCGUCGUGUAAUGCGGCCACCUGGGACCGAGGACCGCGCUCUGCGAGGAUGCUGGCGUAAUGGCCUUAUGCGGCCCGUCUUGAAACACGGACCAAGGAGUCUAACAUCUGUGCGAGUGUUUGGGUUUGAAGCCCGGACGCGUAAUGAAAGUGAACGGAGGUGGGAGCCCUCGGGCGCACCAUCGGCCGAUCCUGACGUUUUCUGAGGGAUUUGAGUAAGAGCAUAGCUGUUGGGACCCGAAAGAUGGUGAACUAUGCGUGAAUAGGGUGAAGCCAGAGGAAACUCUGGUGGAGGCUCGCAGCGGUUCUGACGUGCAAAUCGAUCGUCAAAUUUGCGUAUAGGGGCGAAAGACUAAUCGAACCAUCUAGUAGCUGGUUCCUGCCGAAGUUUCCCUCAGGAUAGCAGUAGCGCACUCAGUUUUAUGAGGUAAAGCGAACGAUUAGGGACCUAGGGGUUGAAACAACCUUUAUCCAUUCUCGAACUUUGAAUAUGUAAGAAGUCCUUGUUGCUUUGUUGAACGUGGACACUCGAAUGAUGCGCUACUAGUGGGCCAUUUUUGGUAAGCAGAACUGGCGAUGCGGGAUGAACCGAACGUGGGGUUAAGGUGCCAGAAUGCACGCUCAUCAGACACCACAAAAGGUGUUGGUUCAUCUAGACAGCAGGACGGUGGCCAUGGAAGUCGGAAUCCGCUAAGGAGUGUGUAACAACUCACCUGCCGAAUGAACCAGCCCUGAAAAUGGAUGGCGCUCAAGCGUGCUACCCAUACCCCACCGUCUCUGCGGGUUUUCUGCAGAGACGAGUAGGCAGGCGUGGAGGUUUCGUGACGAAGCCC
RNAcentral lists this ribosomal RNA (1313 nucleotides) under Scolecobasidium phaeophorum. RNAcentral's name for it is "LSU rRNA". It matches the Rfam family "Eukaryotic large subunit ribosomal RNA", at positions 76 to 1411 of the family's 3401-position model. Lineage: Eukaryota; Fungi; Ascomycota; Dothideomycetes; Venturiales; Sympoventuriaceae. The record is from RNAcentral.